UAGCUUAGCAGUAAAGGCGCUUGUCUGGUAACCAAGAGAGCGUGGGUUCAAAUCCUAA
RNAcentral lists this transfer RNA (58 nucleotides) under Diaphorina citri (Asian citrus psyllid). It matches the Rfam family "tRNA", at positions 8 to 63 of the family's 71-position model. From Rfam's summary of the family: Transfer RNA (tRNA) molecules are approximately 80 nucleotides in length. The record is from Rfam by way of RNAcentral. Lineage: Eukaryota; Metazoa; Arthropoda; Insecta; Hemiptera; Psyllidae.